Molecule: ribosomal RNA, 254 nt
Filed under: uncultured bacterium
Lineage: Bacteria
Description: partial 16S ribosomal RNA
Rfam family: Bacterial small subunit ribosomal RNA
Source: RNAcentral
UACAGAGGUCUCAAGCGUUGUUCGGAUUCAUUGGGCGUAAAGGGUGCGUAGGUGGCGGGGUUAGUCAGGUGUGAAAUCUCGGAGCUCAACUCCGAAACUGCACUUGAUACUGCCUUGCUAGAGUACUGGAGAGGAGAUUGGAAUUUACGGUGUAGCAGUGAAAUGCGUAGAUAUCGUAAGGAAGACCAGUGGCGAAGGCGAAUCUCUGGACAGUUACUGACACUGAGGCACGAAGGCCAGGGGGAGCAAACGGG